UGGGGAAUUUUGGACAAUGGACGCAAGUCUGAUCCAGCCAUGCCGCGUGCAGGAUGAAGGCCUUCGGGUUGUAAACUGCUUUUGUACGGAGCGAAAAGGUCUGCCCUAAUACGGUGGGCUCAUGACGGUACCGUAAGAAUAAGCACCGGCUAACUACGUGCCAGCAGCCGCGGUAAUACGUAGGGUGCAAGCGUUAAUCGGAAUUACUGGGCGUAAAGCGUGCGCAGGCGGUUAUGCAAGACAGAGGUGAAAUCCCCGGGCUCAACCUGGGAACUGCCUUUGUGACUGCAUAGCUAGAGUACGGUAGAGGGGGAUGGAAUUCCGCGUGUAGCAGUGAAAUGCGUAGAUAGGCGGAGGAACACCGAUGGCGAAGGCAAUCCCCUGGACCUGUACUGACGCUCAUGCACGAAAGCGUGGGGAGCAAACA
Molecule: ribosomal RNA, 427 nt
Filed under: uncultured bacterium
Lineage: Bacteria
Description: bacterial SSU rRNA
Rfam family: Bacterial small subunit ribosomal RNA
Source: RNAcentral